Dreissena polymorpha is the source of this 1203-nucleotide long non-coding RNA. RefSeq lists it as uncharacterized. Lineage: Eukaryota; Metazoa; Mollusca; Bivalvia; Myida; Dreissenidae. The transcript has 3 exons. The record is from RefSeq and is a predicted model, not a curated record.
ACUUACUGGUCUUCAUGGCAAUAAUGAACGUAUUUAGUUUAAUGGAGAUUAUAGGUUACAUUACACUAAAUCAUUGUGUAUCCCUCCGUGGUCCAUUCGAAAGUAGUGCCUAUUUCUAAAGAGUUCCUUUUCUCUUCUUGAAUAUAAGCCAUUUAACAAUGUGAGACAUGUCUUUUGUGGUUAUUUGUAAUAUCCUGUAUGUGUCUGGAGUACUUUGAUGCCUUGGAUUGGAAGCUAACUUAAAAGAUGAACUUUUGAGGGUGUGUUUUCUAUUGUGUGGGGCUUUUGUCGAAAUUAGGAUUCCGAAACGCGUUUUUCUACGGUGGGUUCAUUCGACAGCGAUUUACUUUCUUAGAAGUUGCGAGACGGUAUGUUUUUGAUUGCAAUUAUUGGAAGAUGACAGAUCCAUCUUUAAAAUGAUACCAGGUUAGGAAAAAUUGAUACGUCGGAAAGGCAAGAAAAAUGCUGUGAAAGUUGUCAGUUUUAUAAUGGGACCCUAUGGGAAUCGGAAUUAGUGUAAUAUAACCUUUAAAAAGCACAUUUACUGCAAUGUCAAGGUCACAUGGAUUCGUCUGCAAGCGAGACAAGUAGAAAAUGAAUUUUAAUGAAUGUUUUGAUGAUUUGGGUGCUAAAAUAGAUGAGAGAUGUCAAUAUUUUGGUCCAAAUGGAUGUUUUAGGUGGUUUUGGACUGUUCCGGAUGGGUGGGGGACCUGGUAUGGACAAGUAAGGGUAACAUUUCCAACAAAUCUUAAAUGUAAAUAUUAUUAUGUCCAUAGAUUGAAGUUUCAGGUGGAGAGCAAGAUGAAAAAUAUGCCAAAUUACAUGCAUGCAACCCAUUUAUGCCAUUUUUCUCUCUUGUUUGUAGGCCUGACCGUUUGUCCUUGAGCCGUAGAUGGUCAACAAUCCGCUAGCUGUCUUGCUCUGACUGGUGCACUGGACAUGAUUUCAAUAGUCAGCCAGACCAUGAUUGAGCUUAAGGAUUGUGCUGCGGAUGCAGCCUGUGCAGUUCCGGGAGAAAGUCACUGUCUUGGGCAAUGCGGUCUGGUAUCAGGUCUGGAUGAUCCUUGCCUGUCUGCGGGUUUGUGUACACCUCAAUCCGACUCUGUGUCCUGAACAGAGGCCGCAGUGGUGCAGCGCUUGUGGACGAUCCAUCAACAUCCUGAAAGGUCAACACUACACCAAGCUGGGAAAAUUGAUCCUGAU